UAGCAAACAAACCCUGGUUUCCGUGCCCAACGUCUGACCGUCCGUCUUAUUUGAAAAAAUUAUAAAAAAAAUUAAAAAGACAAGUCACGCAUAAAAUAUUAAUCAUGUUUUAUCAUUUAACAACAAUGAAAAUAGAAAUUAUAAAAAAAAUUCAUAUGAGACGGACAGUCAAAAUUGGAAACGAAAAUUCAGGGUUUGCCUUUUU
Oryza sativa Japonica Group (Japanese rice) is the source of this 205-nucleotide microRNA precursor. It matches the Rfam family "MIR812 microRNA precursor family". Lineage: Eukaryota; Viridiplantae; Streptophyta; Magnoliopsida; Poales; Poaceae. The record is from Rfam.